AAGUCGUAACAAGGUUUCCGUAGGUGAACCUGCGGAAGGAUCAUUAAAAAAGGGUCGUAAGACCUAUUUUUAAACACUAUCGCCGCCUAUUAUCUAUGGGUAGGAUACUCUUGUCUAUGGGUGAGAUGGAGGAGGUAGGGUUUUUUAAAAUCCAAUUAUUAUUAUAAAAUAUAUCGUCUAAUGACGAACCAAAAAAAAUUAUUAAAACUUUCAACAAUGGAUCUCUUGGCUCUC
Molecule: unclassified non-coding RNA, 234 nt
Filed under: fungal sp.
Lineage: Eukaryota; Fungi
Description: partial internal transcribed spacer region
Rfam family: Eukaryotic small subunit ribosomal RNA (bases 1-46)
Source: RNAcentral